RNAcentral lists this ribosomal RNA (460 nucleotides) under uncultured bacterium. Its description in RNAcentral is "partial 16S ribosomal RNA". It matches the Rfam family "Bacterial small subunit ribosomal RNA", at positions 338 to 795 of the family's 1533-position model. The record is from RNAcentral.
CCUACGGGUGGCAGCAGUGAGGAAUAUUGGUCAAUGGGCGGAAGCCUGAACCAGCCAAGUAGCGUGCAGGAUGACGGCCCUACGGGUUGUAAACUGCUUUUAUACGGGAAUAACGCGCCUUACGUGUAGGGCUUUGCAUGUACCGUAUGAAUAAGGAUCGGCUAACUCCGUGCCAGCAGCCGCGGUAAUACGGAGGAUCCGAGCGUUAUCCGGAUUUAUUGGGUUUAAAGGGAGCGUAGGCGGGUUGUUAAGUCAGUUGUGAAAGUUUGCGGCUCAACCGUAAAAUUGCAGUUGAUACUGGCAUCCUUGAGUACAGUAGAGGUAGGCGGAAUUCGUGGUGUAGCGGUGAAAUGCUUAGAUAUCACGAAGAACUCCGAUUGCGAAGGCAGCCUGCUGGACUGUAACUGACGCUGAUGCUCGAAAGUGUGGGUAUCAAACAGGAUUAGAUACCCCUGUAGUC